This 248-nucleotide long non-coding RNA is filed under the name Brassica napus (rape). Its description in RNAcentral is "long non-coding RNA (BNAP_LNC017873)". Lineage: Eukaryota; Viridiplantae; Streptophyta; Magnoliopsida; Brassicales; Brassicaceae. The record is from RNAcentral.
AAAUUAAUUCAGGAUUAGAUAUUUAGUCCAAACAACAUGCGAUUUUUGUGUAUCUCUCUCUUUCUUUCUAAUUUUGAUCCGUAUGAGACAACGGUAAACGAACAGGACCACAAUAAAAUACAAAAAAAUGCAACUUAAAUCUGAAUUUUCUAUUUUUUCUUUUAUUUUUUCUCUUUUGUUUCAUCUACUUCCAUUUUCACUUGUCUCAUUCAGUCUAUACAUCACUUUAUAUAUUUUCGAGUUUGGCU